Molecule: ribosomal RNA, 468 nt
Filed under: uncultured bacterium
Lineage: Bacteria
Description: partial 16S ribosomal RNA
Rfam family: Bacterial small subunit ribosomal RNA
Source: RNAcentral
GACGAACGCUGGCGGCGUGCUUAACACAUGCAAGUCGAACGGAAAGGCCCUGCUUUUGUGGGGUGCUCGAGUGGCGAACGGGUGAGUAACACGUGAGUAACCUGCCCUUGACUUUGGGAUAACUUCAGGAAACUGGGGCUAAUACCGGAUAGGAGCUCCUGCUGCAUGGUGGGGGUUGGAAAGUUUCGGCGGUUGGGGAUGGACUCGCGGCUUAUCAGCUUGUUGGUGGGGUAGUGGCUUACCAAGGCUUUGACGGGUAGCCGGCCUGAGAGGGUGACCGGCCACAUUGGGACUGAGAAACGGCCCAGACUCCUACGGGAGGCAGCAGUGGGGAAUAUUGCACAAUGGGCGGAAGCCUGAUGCAGCAACGCCGCGUGCGGGAUGACGGCCUUCGGGUUGUAACCCGCUUUCGCCUGUGACGAAGCGUGAGUGACGGUAAUGGGUAAAGAAGCACCGGCUAACUACGUG